RNAcentral lists this non-coding RNA (28 nucleotides) under Mus musculus (house mouse). Lineage: Eukaryota; Metazoa; Chordata; Mammalia; Rodentia; Muridae. The record is from RNAcentral.
UAUGCCAAAUGAUUUCAAAUACUUGAAG